Molecule: ribosomal RNA, 779 nt
Filed under: uncultured bacterium
Lineage: Bacteria
Description: bacterial SSU rRNA
Rfam family: Bacterial small subunit ribosomal RNA
Source: RNAcentral
GUCGAACGAGCGAGAGAGAGCUUGCUUUCUCAAGCGAGUGGCGAACGGGUGAGUAACGCGUGAGGAACCUGCCUCAAAGAGGGGGACAACAGUUGGAAACGACUGCUAAUACCGCAUAAGCCCACGACCCGGCAUCGGGUAGAGGGAAAAGGAGCAAUCCGCUUUGAGAUGGCCUCGCGUCCGAUUAGCUAGUUGGUGAGGUAACGGCCCACCAAGGCGACGAUCGGUAGCCGGACUGAGAGGUUGAACGGCCACAUUGGGACUGAGACACGGCCCAGACUCCUACGGGAGGCAGCAGUGGGGAAUAUUGCACAAUGGGGGAAACCCUGAUGCAGCGACGCCGCGUGGAGGAAGAAGGUCUUCGGAUUGUAAACUCCUGUUGUUGAGGAAGAUAAUGACGGUACUCAACAAGGAAGUGACGGCUAACUACGUGCCAGCAGCCGCGGUAAAACGUAGGUCACAAGCGUUGUCCGGAAUUACUGGGUGUAAAGGGAGCGCAGGCGGGAAGACAAGUUGGAAGUGAAAUCCAUGGGCUCAACCCAUGAACUGCUUUCAAAACUGUUUUUCUUGAGUAGUGCAGAGGUAGGCGGAAUUCCCGGUGUAGCGGUGGAAUGCGUAGAUAUCGGGAGGAACACCAGUGGCGAAGGCGGCCUACUGGGCACCAACUGACGCUGAGGCUCGAAAGUGUGGGUAGCAAACAGGAUUAGAUACCCUGGUAGUCCACACUGUAAACGAUGAUUACUAGGUGUUGGAGGAUUGACCCCUUCAGUGCCGCAGUU